GACAGAGGGUGCGAACGUUGUUCGGAAUUACUGGGCGUAAAGCGCAUGUAGGCGGCAGCGCAAGUCGGAUGUGAAAGCCCCGGGCUCAACCCGGGAAGUGCACUCGAUACUGCCAAGCUAGAGUAUCGGAGAGGUUGGUGGAAUUCUCGGUGUAGAGGUGAAAUUCGUAGAUAUCGAGAGGAACACCGGUGGCGAAGGCGGCCAACUGGACGAAUACUGACGCUCAUGUGCGAAAGCGUGGGGAGCAAACAGG
Molecule: ribosomal RNA, 253 nt
Filed under: uncultured bacterium
Lineage: Bacteria
Description: partial 16S ribosomal RNA
Rfam family: Bacterial small subunit ribosomal RNA
Source: RNAcentral